This is a long non-coding RNA of Sapajus apella (tufted capuchin), 768 nucleotides long. RefSeq lists it as uncharacterized. NCBI's taxonomy places the organism in Eukaryota, Metazoa, Chordata, Mammalia, Primates, Cebidae. The record is from RefSeq and is a predicted model, not a curated record. The transcript has 2 exons.
GAGUCAUCAGAUCUGAUGGUUUUAGAAAGGGAGGUUUCCCUGCACAAACCCUCUUCUCUUGUCUGCUGCCACGGGAGAUGCACCUUUCACCUCCCUGCUGUGACUGUGAGGCUUCCCAGCCAUGUGGAACUGUAAGUCCAUUAAACCUCUUUCUUUUGUAAAUUGCCCAGUGUCAGACAUGUCUUUAUCAGCAGUGUGAAAACAGACUAAUUCAGCUCCUAUGCCCAACCACAUCUCACGCUGCAGUCAGCCAGACAAACAUGCUAAUGAGCGAUGUCUAGAGCAGCUGAAGUUUACUGGUAGUUCUAAAAGGAAGAAGAGAAAGAAAAAGAGGAAGAAAAGUAGGGGGGAAAUGGGAAGAAAAGAAUGCUUAGUGGAGACCAGAAAUUGUAGCCAGGAGAUGACAGUGCAAGCCCCUAGCUGUCGGGCCAACUGUCUGGGCACAGCAGCCUGCCCUGGGCCAAUGAAUACCUCGCUCACCCACAGUGUCACAGGGCAAUCUCUAAAUUGCAAAACCUUCAGAUUGUGCAAGCCUGGAUCCAGCCUUGGGCUAAGUAAGGACAGAGCUGCUCAGAACCAUCAGGCAAUGACAGUUAAGGCACCCCAGCCCUGGGUUCCAGCUGCUGCCACAAAUCAUUGCCGAGGAUGUCACAUGGGCCCUGUUCCGGAGGCUUCUGCUGUCUCCUGAUUCAAGUCAUGCUGUCUAUUCUCAAAAACCAUUUAGCUCUUUGAUGUACUUAAUUUGACAAAAUAAAAUUUAAGAAACCA